RNAcentral lists this ribosomal RNA (253 nucleotides) under uncultured prokaryote. RNAcentral's name for it is "partial 16S ribosomal RNA". It matches the Rfam family "Bacterial small subunit ribosomal RNA", at positions 524 to 776 of the family's 1533-position model. The record is from RNAcentral.
UACGUAGGGGGCGAGCGUUGUCCGGACUUACUGGGCGUAAAGGGUGCGUAGGUGGCCUUUUAAGUUGGAUGUGAAAUACCCGGGCUUAACUUGGGGGGUGCAUCUAAUAUUGGGAGGCUAGAGUGCAGGAGAGGGAAGCGGAAUUCCUAGUGUAGCGGUGAAAUGCGUAGAUAUUAGGAGGAACACCAGUGGCGAAGGCGGCUCUCUGGACUGUAACUGACACUGAGGCACGAAAGCGUGGGGAGCAAACAGG